Long non-coding RNA from Gallus gallus (chicken), 1688 nucleotides. The record is from Ensembl. Lineage: Eukaryota; Metazoa; Chordata; Aves; Galliformes; Phasianidae.
UAAGAAGCCAGACAUUAGCCUUUUGUGAAUGCUUACCGGUAAAACAGUAUAAAGUUCAAAGUAAAUGCAUUAAACGAACAAUAAGUGAGCCUGUCUCCUCCAGACAAAGCUACUUCUAUUUUGAAAGGCAACAUAAUCACCUGAGAUCACAACAGUGGUCUUGGAAAGGAACUCAGACCUGGAGUCAUCAGCCCACAAAGUGAAGAUCCAGUUCAAGACUGUAUCUAAAGAAUCUGAAGGUGCACAAGUACAUGGGACCCAUCCACAGGUACAUGAGAUCCAUCCACAGGUUCUAAGGGAACUGGUGCAUGAAGUUAUCAAGCUGCUAUCUAUUGUUCUCACUGAUUAGAAAACAGGGAAAAUGACCCUCACUUUCAAGAAGGAAAAAGAAGAAGAUCCAGGGAACUGCAGGCUAGUCUCACUUCUGUGCCUGGUGAGAUCAUGGAGCAGAUCCUCCUGAAGGCCCUACUAAGGCACAUAGAAAAUAAAGACAAGGUGAUUGGUGGUAACCAACGUGGCUUCACCAAGGGUAAGACAUGCCUGACAGACUGGGUGGUCUUUUAUGAUGGAGUUAUAACGUCAAUGGAUAAAGGAAGAGCAAAUCACAUCAUCUACCUGGACUGGUGCAAAGUACUUGAUAUCCCGGUUGCCAAAUUGGAGAAAAACUGGAUUUGAUGGAUGGACCACUUGCUGGAUAAGGAACUGGCUGUAUGGUUGCACUAAGAGAGAGAGUUGCAGUCAACAGCUCAAUGUCCAAGUGAAGACCAGUGACAAGUGUUGUUCCUCAGGGAUCAGUGCUGGAACUGGUAUUAUUUAGCAUCUCGGUAGGUGAGAUGCGCAGUGGAAUUGAGUGUACAUUCAGCAGGUUUGCAGAUGACACCAAAUUUCCAUGGAAGUAAAGAGAAGGCAUUAAUUUUCAAUAAACUACUUGUCUUGAAAGCUGGAAAUACUUUCAAGCCAGCCCACAGUAGGCAGGAUGGUACAAGAAGAAACUUCAUUAAAUUUUUGAGCUGAUCAUGACUCCCAUCUAGAUUCCAAUCACAUGCAAGGCCAGCCUUCAUGCUGCAGACUCUGCCUUCUUUCCAAAGAUGGUCCAGAAGGAAACAUGUCAACUAGAGACUAUUGACAAUCUUCUUGGAGUGCUUAACCAGAACAGAAACAGAAAAUUCAGUUUGUAGAGGUAGCAGAUUUUUCCAAAGAAACUUUGUUUUAUUUUUCAAAUAGAUAUUGAAGAACACCAAAGUCAAGUAGGAAAACAAGGAAUGGAAUGGUACAGUCAUAUUAUGAACUGAGCCACAUCCCUGACUCUUAAUCUGGCUGCAAAAAUACUAAGCCUGCUGACUUCAUCAAAGUUGCAUAUAGUUUUAACACUAGAUACAAGUUUCAACUUCCAAACACAAACAAACAACCUCAGUUCUUUCUUCACAACUACAGAAAACGGCUGUUAACAGACUCCUGGGCUCUGUUAUCACAUGUAAAGGAAAGAAAAAAAACGGAAAAAGUCUGUCACUUUGUUGAAAUUUCUAGCACAUAAACAUCAUCAUGCAUUUACAGUAAGGAUCCUUGGAAAGAAACUUCACUCUUCAAGUCUCUCAUUUGGAAAAUCAGAAGAGCUAGGCAUCAGUAGGACCUGUUAGUUAAGGACUUGCUGGGUUCUGUCUGCUUCCACCAUGGCCAUCAACUGCCAG